Molecule: ribosomal RNA, 254 nt
Filed under: uncultured bacterium
Lineage: Bacteria
Description: partial 16S ribosomal RNA
Rfam family: Bacterial small subunit ribosomal RNA
Source: RNAcentral
UACGUAGGGGGCAAGCGUUGUCCGGAUUUAUUGGGCGUAAAGAGCUCGUAGGCGGUUCGGCAAGUCAGCUGUGAAAUCUCCACGCUCAACGUGGAGGGGUCAGCUGAUACUGCUGUGACUCGAGUCCGGUAGGGGAGUGUGGAAUUCCCGGUGUAGCGGUGAAAUGCGCAGAUAUCGGGAGGAACACCAGUAGCGAAGGCGGCACUCUGGGCCGAUACUGACGCUGAGGAGCGAAAGCGUGGGGAGCGAACAGG